AACAUCAACUGGUCCACAUAGCAUGAUGACAAUAAAACCUCAUCUUCUUGUGCUUAAUUAUUCAAACACUCAACCAAAUGAAGCAUUUUUCUUUCUUGCUGCUUCCUUAUGCAUACCCACAUCUUCUUCUUCUUCUUUUUACUUUAACUGCAAUGUGUGUUGUCCCAAACAGAAUUUCAGGUUUGGUGCUAGGAAAUCAGACUGAUUAUUUAACAUUGCUCCAAUUCAAAGAUUCAAUAUCAAUUGACCCAAAUGGAGUCUUAGAUUCUUGGAAUAGUUCAACACACUUUUGCAAUUGGCAUGGAAUCACAUGCAGCCCCAUGCAUCAAAGAGUUAUAGAAUUGAACCUACAAGGAUAUGAAUUGCAUGGAUCAAUAUCUACUCAUAUUGGUAAUCUCUCUUUUCUCAGAAACUUAAACCUUGCAAAGAAUAAUUUCUUUGGAAACAUCCCAAAUGAACUUGGAAGGUUGUUACAAUUGCAACAACUCCUUCUCACCAAUAACACCCUCUCAGGGGAGAUUCCUAUAAACUUGACCCACUGUUCCGAUCUUGAAGGCUUAUACUUGAGAGGGAACAAUUUGAUUGGAAAAAUCCCAAUUGAAAUCACCUCUCUUCAAAAGCUUCAAGUACUAAAUAUUCGGAAUAACAAGUUAACUGGAAGUGUUUCAUCAUUUAUAGGGAAUCUUUCAUCCUUAAUAUCACUUUCCAUUGGUUAUAACAACUUGGAGGGAAAUAUUCCGAAAGAAGUUUGUCGCCUCAAAAACUUGACAGGGAUAAUAAUGUUUCACAACAAAUUAUCUGGUACAUUUCCUUCUUGUCUUUUCAAUAUGUCAUCUCUUACUAUGAUAUCAGCUGCAGCUAAUCACUUUAAUGGCUCUCUUCCUCAUAACAUGUUCAAUACUCUCCGCAAUCUUCAAACUUUAGCAAUUGGUGGGAAUCAAAUAUCAGGUCCAAUACCUACUUCCAUUACAAAUGGUUCUUCCUUGACAUCAUUUGUUAUUAGUGAAAACUAUUUUGUCGGACAUGUUCCGAGUCUAGGAAAGCUACAAGAUCUUUGGAUGAUAAAUGUGGGUCAAAAUAAUCUAGGCAAAAAUUCAACCAAGGAUUUGGAAUUUUUAGAGUCAUUGAAAAACUGUAGUAAGUUGAUAGCUGUUAGUAUAGCCUAUAAUAAUUUUGGAGGUAGUUUGCCAAAUUCCAUUGGUAAUUUAUCCACCCAACUUAGUCAACUAUAUCUUGGAGGUAAUAUCAUAUCAGGAAAGAUUCCUAUGGAAAUAGGAAAUCUAGUUGGCUUAACUCUCUUGACCAUAGAACUUAACCAACUUGAUGGAAUUAUUCCAUCUUCUUUUGGGAAGUUUCAAAACAUGCAAUUGUUGGAUUUGAGUCGAAACAAACUGUCCGGAGUUAUACCAACCACCUUAGGCAACCUCAGUCAAUUGUAUUACCUAGGUUUAGGUGAAAAUAUGCUACAAGGAAAUAUUCCUUCAAGCAUAGGAAACUGUCAAAAGUUACAAUCCAUAGUCCUUUUUCAAAAUAAUCUUAGUGGAACCAUACCCUUAGAGGUUUUUCGUCUUUCCUCUUUAUCAAUAUUACUGGAUUUGUCAAAAAACUCAUUCAGUGGCAACUUACCGAAAGAAGUCAGUAUGCUAACAACAAUAGAUACCUUAGAUGUCUCUGACAAUCAACUUUCUGGUAACAUUUCUGAAACCAUUGGUGAAUGCAUAAGCUUAGAAUAUCUUUAUUUUCAAGGGAACUCCUUUCACGGAAUCAUACCAUCCUCUUUAGCUUCUCUUAGAGGUCUUCGAUAUUUAGACCUAUCAAGAAAUCGGUUGACUGGAUCAAUUCCUAGUGUUCUGCAAAAUAUUUCUGUUUUAGAAUACUUGAAUGUUUCUUUUAACAUGUUGGAUGGAGAGGUUCCUAAAGAAGGUGUCUUUGGAAAUGCUAGUGCAUUAGCAGUGACCGGGAACAAUAAGCUUUGUGGAGGUAUUUCGCAUCUGCACCUACCACCAUGCCGUGUCAAACGUAUGAAAAAGAAAAAACAUCGUAACUUUCUUUUGAUGGCGGUGAUAGUUAGUGUGAUUUCUUUUGUUAUCAUAAUGCUUCUUAUUGUAGCUAUCUACUUGAGGAGAAAGAGAAACAAAAAACCAUCUUCAGAUUCACCAACAAUUGACCAAUUACCUAUGGUUUCCUACCAAGACUUAUAUCAGGCAACCGAUGGGUUCUCGGAUAGAAACUUGAUUGGAUCAGGAGGCUUCGGUUCCGUGUAUAAAGGAAAUCUUAUGUCAGAAGAUAAAGUUAUUGCUGUUAAGGUCCUGAACCUUGAAAAGAAGGGAGCUCACAAGAGUUUUAUUACUGAAUGUAAUGCUCUCAAAAAUAUUAGACAUCGAAAUUUAGUUAAGAUUUUAACUUGUUGUUCUAGUAUUGAUAACAAAGGUCUAGAAUUCAAAGCUCUAGUUUUUGAGUACAUGAGAAAUGGAAGCUUAGAACAAUGGUUGCAUCCCGGGACAAUGAAUGCAGAUCAUCCAAGAACAUUGAAGUUUGAGCAAAGAUUAAAUAUCCUUGUCGAUGUUUCUUCUGCAUUACAUUACCUUCAUCAUGAAUGUGAGCAAUUGGUCCUUCAUUGUGAUCUAAAGCCAAGCAAUGUCCUUAUUGACGACGAUAUCGUUGCACAUGUGAGUGAUUUUGGCAUAGCAAGACUUGUAUCUUCUGCUGACAAUAACUCUUGUCAAGAAACUAGCACAAUUGGAAUAAAAGGGACCAUUGGCUAUGCUCCUCCAGAGUAUGGAAUGAGUUCUGAAGUUUCCACACAUGGUGAUAUGUAUAGCUUUGGGAUGCUUAUAUUGGAAAUGCUUACGGGAAGAAGACCGACGGAUGACAUGUUUACAGAUGGUCAAAAUCUGCGUUUGUAUGUUGAAAUUUCAUUUCCUGAUAACAUUAUGAAGAUUUUGGACCCGUGUAUUGUACCAAGAGUUGAAGAAGCAACAAUAGAUGAUGGAAGCAAUCGGCAUCUUAUUUCAACGAUGGAUAAAUGCUUUGUUUCCAUUUUUAGGAUUGGACUUGCCUGUUCGAUGGAAUCUCCCAAAGAAAGAAUGAAUAUAGAAGAUGCCACUAGAGAGCUAAACAUAAUCAGAAAGACUUUUCUCACUGGUGUUCACCCUCAUCACAAAUCAAAGCUGAAAUAAACUUCCAGAAUAAUUUGAGAAACAUAAGAGAAUGCACUAUGAUACACUGCUACUAGUGCAACUCUACCCAAAUCACAAGUAUAAAUUUAUUAAGCAGAACUUGGUGUAAGAAGCACCCAAGAACGCUAAAGCGGAACAAUUACAAGUGGUCAGAAAGUACGGAAAUAACAGGUAAGAAAAACAGCACCUAACUGCUGCUACAACAACUAAAACCACCGACACAAAGGGCCCCUAAAAUAACGACAAAGCGCCAAAACACAAGCGGCCAGCAGUGCCGAAACCCCACAGCAGCAAACACACAACCAGCAGCUGUGCCCUCUUGAAGAAACAUUUUAUUGACGAAAUGACAAAAGAAAUAGAAAAAAAAACAUUGACUUGUAGGGUAACAUUAAGGUAAAUCUCAAUAGCAAUGUCUUGAAAUUGCAACUUCCAAGUUUCCUGAGCUGUGAAUGAUACAUAUAUCAGUUUUGUCUUGAAUUUGAUUUCCUCUUCAAUUUAGGAUUUCCAAAAUCUGCAAGAAUACAUACGCAUUUGUAAUGUUAUUUUGCCAUUUUGUCUAUCUACCCAAAAAAAAAAAAAA
Medicago truncatula (barrel medic) is the source of this 3759-nucleotide RNA transcript. It is a transcript of the gene named probable LRR receptor-like serine/threonine-protein kinase At3g47570, with no coding region annotated. The record is from RefSeq and is a predicted model, not a curated record. The transcript has 4 exons. Lineage: Eukaryota; Viridiplantae; Streptophyta; Magnoliopsida; Fabales; Fabaceae.